GAUUUCAUGUGUAUGAUUGAGUAUAAGAACAAGAACCGC
RNAcentral lists this small RNA (39 nucleotides) under Arabidopsis thaliana (thale cress). RNAcentral describes it as "ATSL199070". Lineage: Eukaryota; Viridiplantae; Streptophyta; Magnoliopsida; Brassicales; Brassicaceae. The record is from RNAcentral.